AGGGAAUCUUCCACAAUGGACGGAAGUCUGAUGGAGCAACGCCGCGUGAGUGAUGAAGGUUUUCGGAUCGUAAAACUCUGUUGUAAGGGAAGAACCAGUACGUCAGGCAAUGGACGUACCUUGACGGUACCUUAUUAGAAAGCCACGGCUAACUACGUGCCAGCAGCCGCGGUAAUACGUAGGUGGCAAGCGUUGUCCGGAAGUAUUGGGCGUAAAGCGCGCGUAGGUGGUUCGGCAAGUCAGAUGUGAAAGCCCGGGGCUCAACCCCGGGACUGCAUUUGAAACUGUCGGGCUAGAGUGCAGGAGAGGUAAGUGGAAUUCCUAGUGUAGCGGUGAAAUGCGUAGAUAUUAGGAGGAACACCAGUGGCGAUGGCGGCUUACUGGACUGUAACUGACACUGAGGCUCGAAAGCGUGGGGAGCAAACA
RNAcentral lists this ribosomal RNA (426 nucleotides) under uncultured Bacillota bacterium. RNAcentral's name for it is "bacterial SSU rRNA". It matches the Rfam family "Bacterial small subunit ribosomal RNA", at positions 356 to 774 of the family's 1533-position model. The record is from RNAcentral. Lineage: Bacteria; Bacillati; Bacillota.